AUGGGAUGUCAUACAUAUCACUACGUACGGCUUGAUUGGUUUUAUUUACCCUACUUAUUUAUUUAUUUAUUUUUUAUUUUAUUUUUGGGUGGGUUGGGUGGGGGUGGGGUGUUGUCCUAAAACAGCUAGCAUAUAUCUUUAAAAUUCUACUUGAAGCCAAAUUAUUUAAAGAAUUAGUUUUCAUUCAUGACUUAUACAACUGUUAUUCUGUUUAUAUAGGAAAAUGUUAAUUUAUUGCGUUUUUAACGGUAUUAAUUGGUAAAAAUGCCCAUAUUUAUAACUUCUAAUUAAAAAUAUUUAUUUUAUAAAAA
This 311-nucleotide long non-coding RNA is filed under the name Salvia miltiorrhiza (redroot sage). RNAcentral describes it as "long non-coding RNA (SMIL_LNC014401)". Lineage: Eukaryota; Viridiplantae; Streptophyta; Magnoliopsida; Lamiales; Lamiaceae. The record is from RNAcentral.